Molecule: ribosomal RNA, 1429 nt
Filed under: Brenneria sp.
Lineage: Bacteria; Pseudomonadati; Pseudomonadota; Gammaproteobacteria; Enterobacterales; Pectobacteriaceae
Description: bacterial SSU rRNA
Rfam family: Bacterial small subunit ribosomal RNA
Source: RNAcentral
GUUCGCGCUACCAUGCAGUCGAGCGGUAGCACAGAGGAGCUUGCUCCUUGGGUGACGAGCGGCGGACGGGUGAGUAAAGUCUGGGGAUCUGCCUGAUGGAGGGGGAUAACUACUGGAAACGGUAGCUAAUACCGCAUGACGUCUUCGGACCAAAGUGGGGGACCUUCGGGCCUCACGCCAUGAGAUGAACCCAGAUGGGAUUAGCUGGUAGGUGAGGUAACGGCUCACCUAGGCGACGAUCCCUAGCUGGUCUGAGAGGAUGACCAGCCACACUGGAACUGAGACACGGUCCAGACUCCUACGGGAGGCAGCAGUGGGGAAUAUUGCACAAUGGGGGAAACCCUGAUGCAGCCAUGCCGCGUGUGUGAAGAAGGCCUUCGGGUUGUAAAGCACUUUCAGCGGGGAGGAAGGCAAUGAGCUUAAUAAGUUUGUUGAUUGACGUUACCCGCAGAAGAAGCACCGGCUAACUCCGUGCCAGCAGCCGCGGUAAUACGGAGGGUGCAAGCGUUAAUCGGAAUGACUGGGCGUAAAGCGCACGCAGGCGGUCUGUUAAGUUGGAUGUGAAAUCCCCGGGCUCAACCCGGGAACAGCAUUCAAAACUGACAGGCUAGAGUCUCGUAGAGGGGGGUAGAAUUCCAGGUGUAGCGGUGAAAUGCGUAGAGAUCUGGAGGAAUACCGGUGGCGAAGGCGGCCCCCUGGACGAAGACUGACGCUCAGGUGCGAAAGCGUGGGGAGCAAACAGGAUUAGAUACCCUGGUAGUCCACGCUGUAAACGAUGUCGACUUGGAGGUUGUGGUCUUGAACCGUGGCUUCCGGAGCUAACGCGUUAAGUCGACCGCCUGGGGAGUACGGCCGCAAGGUUAAAACUCAAAUGAAUUGACGGGGGCCCGCACAAGCGGUGGAGCAUGUGGUUUAAUUCGAUGCAACGCGAAGAACCUUACCUACUCUUGACAUCCAGAGAAGACUGUAGAGAUACGGUUGUGCCUUCGGGAGCUCUGAGACAGGUGCUGCAUGGCUGUCGUCAGCUCGUGUUGUGAAAUGUUGGGUUAAGUCCCGCAACGAGCGCAACCCUUAUCCUUUGUUGCCAGCACUUCGGGUGGGAACUCAAAGGAGACUGCCGGUGAUAAACCGGAGGAAGGUGGGGAUGACGUCAAGUCAUCAUGGCCCUUACGAGUAGGGCUACACACGUGCUACAAUGGCGCAUACAAAGAGAAGCGAGCCUGCGAGGGUGAGCGGACCUCAUAAAGUGCGUCGUAGUCCGGAUUGGAGUCUGCAACUCGACUCCAUGAAGUCGGAAUCGCUAGUAAUCGUAGAUCAGAAUGCUACGGUGAAUACGUUCCCGGGCCUUGUACACACCGCCCGUCACACCAUGGGAGUGGGUUGCAAAAGAAGUAGGUAGCUUAACCUUAGGGGGGGCGCUACACUUGUA